Molecule: ribosomal RNA, 488 nt
Filed under: uncultured bacterium
Lineage: Bacteria
Description: partial 16S ribosomal RNA
Rfam family: Bacterial small subunit ribosomal RNA
Source: RNAcentral
GACGAACGCUGGCGGCGUGCUUAACACAUGCAAGUCGAACGCGCCUGUCCUCUGGGUUUCUGGGGGGUGGGUGAGUGGCGAACGGGUGAGUAACACGUGAGUAACCUGCCCCCUUCUUCGGGAUAACGGUCUGAAAGGGCUGCUAAUACCGGGUAUUCACUGGUCUCCGCAUGGGGUCUGGUGGAAAGGUUUUUUUCUGGUGGGGGAUGGGCUCGCGGCCUAUCAGCUUGUUGGUGGGGUGAUGGCCCACCAAGGCUUUGACGGGUAGCCGGCCUGAGAGGGGGACCGGUCACAUUGGGACUGAGAUACGGCCCAGACUCCUACGGGAGGCAGCAGUGGGGAAUAUUGCACAAUGGGCGCCAGGCUGAUGCAGCGACGCCGGGUGAGGGAUGGAGGCCUUCGGGUUGUGAACCUCUUUCGCCCGUGGUCAAGCCGCGACGUGGGUCGUGGUGAGGGUAGUGGGUAAAGAAGCGCCGGCUAACUACGUG